UGCUUGCUUGUAAACAGGGAAGACUCUCCUCCCUCCUCUGUCUAAACUCAGAAUGGGGUUUGUAGGCCCCAUUACGGCACCUCCUGGUAGCAGAAGCAGCAGCAAGGUCUUUCGGAAGCCACUACGUUGAAAUCCCCUCAUUCUCUGGGGCCUGGCUCCCAGGAGAGUCACAAAUGGGUUUGGAUUUGUAUCAGUUUCAAACACAGAUGAAAUAAAGGAAGAAAGAACCCUCUCUCCAAACUAUUGAAACAGUCUCCAAGCCCACAGAACGUGCUGUCGUAUUGUUUGCCCUCAGAAACAUUACAAUGCUAGCAUCUAUCUGCCUGGGUCAUUGUUGAAUGGCCUUUGCUCCUGAGGAGCGCAUUACCAAAGGUGGAGACAGGACCUCCAGGCAGAACCAGAUGAACGUCUUCUCGGGGGGAAGCUGCCACCCCCCACCCACCUGUGCGUGAUCAUCUCAUGGUCAAAAUUCAACCUACCCUGCUUAUAACUUAGAGAGGACUCCACCCACCCUCUGCUACCCCUUCAGGCCCCUCUACUCUUGCAGAGUCCAGCUGGGAGAAUGCCAGAAAUACUGUGUGGAUGUGUGCCUGCCUCUGGGAAGGCUUGAAAUGCGCCUGGCACCAGACGCGGACACCAAGAGAGCCAGCAGACAGAUCCUGGAAGCAAGGCCUGGGUGUAUGCCUUGCUAAGAGAGACCUUGCACCUUAUGAAUAUUGAAAGGCUUUUGCGACAGAUUUCUGACCCUUUUGCGAAACAAUUUACCGGGCUCAAUGGGAAGCUGGAGAAAACUGCAACAGAUGAUGUUGUAACCAGCUGAAAGGGGCAAGAGACAUUUCCAGUUCAGCAUUCCCUUGGAUUUGAACAAUUGCAAAAGGGUUUGUGACUCAAGGUAUACAUGAAUGAUGCUGGACUGGUCCCAUUAGAGAGUGAAGUUCAUAGAAGAGAAACAGCAUUCUGCAGUUCCCUGCACUGCCCUCAAUCUCCCUCUAGCAGGUGAGAGGGUAGCUCAAUCCCACGUUCAUUCAGUACCUGGCCUCCCUAUUGAGACUACCUGCAAUACUAUUAAAUGUGGUAUUGGCUUUCCAAUUAAAAGUAUCCAUUAGGAAGUGGCCUGAGAUCACUAACUCAUCUCACACAGGACACUGAACAGCAGUCAGAUGAUAAUUUUAGGUCAUGGGUAUUAAACAUUUUUCAUACUUGCUAGUAUUAUAAUCAAUUCCUCUGUUAACCUGUAGCAGAAACAGCUUUGUUCUGCUCACACAUAGGAAUAUCUCUAUAGUCUAUGACAACUGACUUGCACUUAGGACAAAGACAACUGUAGAGAAGGACGAGUGGAACUUUAGCACAGGGCCUUUCUGCAACUCUGACCUGGCCUAGACUAAACUUUUACAACGUCUGAACAUAGCUGGGUUCAUGUUUGCUCACACCAUGCUGAAUACAAUGCAGUGAUCAGCGUAAACCAGGCAAAAUAAUGUGUUCGUAUCCUGGCAGCUAACCAUGCCCAGGCCUUAGAUUGAGAGGCUCACAUCCUGAUCUCAGUCGCAAAAGUGUAGAAGUCAGCAGAGACAACACAUAACCGUUGAUGGGGGUGGGGGUCAAAAUUUAAAGCAACAGUUUUCAAACUUUUUGAGCUGAGACCCCCUUUGACUUACAAUUUUUGGUUGCUCCCAGACAAAGAGAGGUGAGUCAAGGGGCAGACGUGGCGCUCCCUCACCAAGCUCCACUGUGCGGUGUUGAAGCCUGAGCCUGCCUGGCGUUGGUGCUCACCCCCACCCCAAACGUUCCUCCAUGCCCCGUAGGGGGAUAUUCCCCACAGUUUGAAAACCUCUGAUUUAAAGGUUCUGGUGGUAUGCAGCAGGGUUCAGGGCAGGCCAUAUAAACCCCAACAGAAAACUCACGUUGCCCCCCACCACUACCCACUGGAAGUAAAUUUUCACCUAAAUGGAGCUAUUCCAGACUUACACCAGUGUAAGUGAGAUCCAAGUCCAUGUCUUAUUCCUCUGUCACCCUACUUUAUAUUCAAAUUGUUUUGUUUUUUUAAUUCCUAAAAAGUAGGCAGCAUAAUACAUAAAGCAUCCACUCUAACUCCUUUGCCUACUUAAAUGACAGUACUGGAUUUAGGUCUGUCUGGUGUCAAAAGGCUAUAUGCUUCAGAAAAAGAAUAGGGGUUGAGAAAAAAAGAAGUGGAAAUAACAGUAAACAUGACCGAUUUGCAUGGAUUCUCCAGGAAGAAAAAUGGGAAAAUGCCAAAAAAUAAACCCUCCCAUCUGACAAAGCUGACCCUGUCUGGAUUUGGCUUUUGCAAUCCUUAUACUGCAACUGAUAAUGCUAGAAAAAUGUCUUCCUUCACAAAAACAGCAGACAAUCCCUUUAGAUUUAAUGCAACAGCCAUCCACAGUGACAUGCACAAUUCAUUACAAACACAGGUACUAGUGUCCCUCUUGCACCUUCAUACAACUAUAGUGUCCAUAAAGAUGCAACACAACAGUUCUAUAGCAAAGAUUUUUGCUUUUAACUAACAAUCAAUAUUAUUUUUAAUCAUUCUCCACUUUUUUACAUUGCAUUUAAAUUGGCUUUAUUUCAAGAUCAAACAAAAAUAUUCAGGAGCUGACACACACUAGGGCUGUCAAACUAUUACAAAAAAUUGCGAUUAAUCAUGAGAUUAAAAAAAAUCAUGAUUGCAGUUUUAAUCACAAUAGAAUACAAUUUAUUUAAAUAUUUUGGAUGUUUUCUAGAUUUUCAAAUAUAUUGAUUUCAAUUACAACACAGAAUACAAAGUAUACAGUGCUCAUUUUAUAUUUGUCUUACAAAUAUUUGCACUGUAAAAAAGAAACAAGAGUUUUUUUCAGUUCACCUCAUACAAGUACUAUAGUGCAAUCUCUAUCAUUCUAUUCUAUAAACUGCAACUUACAAAUGUAGAAUUAUUUUUUUCUGCAUAACUGCACCCAAAAAUAAAACAAUGUAAAACUUUGGCACCUACAAGUCCAUUUAAUUCUACUGCUUGGUCAGCCAAUUGCUCAGACAAACAAAUUUGUUUACAUUUACGGGAGACAAUGCUGCCUGCUUCUUAUUUUCAAUGUCACCUGCAAAUGAUAAUAGACAUUCGCAUGGCACUUUUGUAGCCGGUAUUGCAAGAUAUUUACAUGCCAGAGAUGCUUAACAUUCGUAUGCCCCUUCAUGCUUUAACCACCAUUCCAGAGGACAUGUAUCUAUGCUGAUGACGGGUUCUGCUCGAUAACAAUCCAAAGCAGUGUGGACCAGCGCAUGUUCAUUUUCAUCAUCCGAGUCAGAUGCCACCAGCAGAAGGUUGAUUUUCUUUUUUGGUUGUUCGGAUUCUGUAGUUUCUGCAUCGGAGUGUUGCUCUUUUAAGACUUCUGAAAGCAUGCUCCACACCCCAUCCCUCUCAGAUUUUGGAAGGCACUUCCGAUUCUUAAAUCUUGGAUCAAGUGCUGAGCUAUUUUUAGAAAUCUCACAUUAGUACCUUCUUUGUAUUUUGUCAAAUAUGUAAUGAAAGUGUUCUUAAAAUGAACAUGUGCUGGGUCAUCAUCUUUCACAUGAAAUAUAUGGCAGAAUGCAGGUAAAACAGAACAGGAGACAUACAAUCCUCCCCCAAGGAGUUCAGUCACAAAUUUAAUUAAUGCAUUAUUUUUUUUAACAAAAGUGUCAUCAGCAUGGAAGCAUGUCCUCUGGAAGGGUGGCUGAAGCAUAAAGGGACAUACGAAUGUUUCGUAUAUCUGGCAUGUAAAUACCUUGCAAUGCUGGCUACGCCUGUUCUCACUUUCAGGUGACAUUGUAAACGAGAAGCGGGCAGCAUUAUCUCCUGUAAAUGUAAACAAACUUGUUUGAGCAAUUGGUUGAACAAAAAGUAGGAUUUGAUGGAUUUGUAGGCUCUAAAGUUUUACAUUGUUUUGUUUUUGAGUACAGUUACGUAACCAAAAAAAAAAAAAAUCUACAUUUGUAAGUUGCACUUUCAUGAUAACGAGAUUGCACUACAGUACUUGUAUGUUGUGAACUGAAAAAUACUAUUUCUUUUGUUUAUCUUUUUUACAGUGCAAAUAUUUGUAAGAAAACAAUAUAAAGUGAGCACUGUACACUUUGUAUUCUGUGUUGUAAUUAAAAAUCAAUAUAUUUGAAAAUGUAGAAAAACAUCCAAAAAUAUUUAUAAUCAAUUUAAAUUGGUAUUCUAUUACUGUUUAACAGUGCGAUUAAAACUGCAAUUAUUCGUGGUUAAAUUUUUUAGUCAAAUUAAUUUGUUUUGAGUGAAUUGCUUGAGUUACUGCAAUAUAAAUAAAGGGACAUUAAACAAUUCCUGAGCUUUUGCUGUCUCAGUAUUUUUAAAGAUGACAUUGAUCAAAGGGACUGUGAACUCUAAUGGGAAUUGAUCAGCAAAGCAAGGUGAUGUCACUAAACAGGGCAUCUCAUUGUGGGAUUCCAAACUCUUCCUUUCAUCUGAUGUGCAGUCAAAUGAUCCAUAACCUCCGCCCUAAGCUCGAUAACAGCUAUUUCUAAACUGCUAGCAUUUCUUUGGAAAGAUGCAUGGUCAAAUGGAUUAAUUUUUAUGCAAAGCAAUCAGUUAUGUAUCUGCUUCAUAAUAUUCUAGCAUUACAGGUCUGGAGGGCAGAAGGCAGCUCUCCCAUGUUCCCUCUUGUACCCAACAUGUCACCAUUGCACACAGUCUGCUACUGCAGUGGAGGAGUGGUGGUUUGUGAAGAAUGGCAGAAGUAGAGACUUUGGGAGAUGAUAUUUUAGCCCUCUUAUCACCAUAUAAUGCACGUUCCAAUCAUGUGCUGCUCUCAUCUGGUGCACUUGGGUCUUGUGAAGAGGCACAAAUGCACUCAAUGUGUUUUAGGACUUGUGUAUGCACUGGGGUCCUGUGCUGUAUGGGAGUAUGAUUUCUAAAGCAUACUAGCACUGUUGGUUAUUAAUUAGUCCAUGUAGACCCUGCUGAUGCGCUUUAAUGUGGCACUGUUUGAAACAGUUCUGUUAAAGCGCAUGUGGGAACCUUUAGUGCACAUCCACGGAGUCUACAUGGACCAAUUAAUGUGCACUUUAGAAAUCACACGCCUGUAGAGCAUGUUACCCCGCCGUGUAGACAAGCCCUUAGACUGUAAAUCCUCUGGGACCAGAAUUGCCUCUUUUCUGUGUUUGUACAGCACCUACUACAAUGGGCCCCCCAAUCCUGAGUCUUUGGGUGCUCCAGCCAGGACAGAUAUUUACUAUUACAGUAAGAACUCUAGAUAUGAAGCAUUCAGAUACUGUGGUGAUGAAGGCUAUAUAUAAACCAGGAGAGAACAGUCUGCUAACUGAAUUGAAAGCAAAACAAUUCCUAUUUUCAGCUGAUGCUGGAACCUCGGUGGGGAAAGUUCACUUUGACAGGAGAUGCAACUAAAUAUUUGUAGUCUCUUUAAAAAUCAUAUUCAUUACCUUCUCCUUUGCUAGUGCUGAUGCUUUCUUUAAUGGCUUUGGAUAUCUGGCUGCAAGUGGAACAGAAUAGAAAGAUUUUGGACAGGGAGGAGGAAGUGGUGGGUAGAACUGUCUUGUUGCUAUGGAGGAAUCACUCAGAAUGAUUUGUCAGACAAUGGACCACAGCAUCAGGAUGUCGGGGUGGGUGUGUGUGUGAGAAAGAGAGACACACACACACACACACACUCACAUUGUCUCUGUAAAUAGGAACCUGGAUAUAAAACUAGAAUAGCUAGCAAGACAGAUCGCAAUGAAAUUUGAGCUGUAUGGCAAUUCUGCUUCUGAGCAGCCCUGCUAGUCCUCAUUCAGCUUUGAGGGGAACUAACUAUAUUAACAGUGAAGCAGCUAUUACACUCACAACAGGAGAUGGACAGUGAUGUGAUGUAUAUGAUGUGGAGUCUUCACUUAUGGAGAUGCCACAUCUUUCUCUUUGGGGGCAGUUCGCUGAAAAAGCCAUCCAGAGAAUCUCCCCCAAUGGCAGAAAGUUGACAGUGGAUCCAAAAGGCAAAAAGUGCUAGUUUAGGAAGACAGAUGAAGAGGACACGCUUACUUCAUCGCUGUGGCCCAGCUGAGUUUAGUAUCCUUAUGUGUGUGGGUUUUUUUAAAGGGGCUAUAUAGAGAUAAAUCACUAAUUCGAAAAGGUUGCAUACUUCCCCCACCCACUGGGGGAAAAAAGCCUAGUUCACAUCCACCAGCCAUAUGUACUUUUGUGUAGAGCUGUGUUGGUGCUGUCUGGGGAAGAGUGCUGGUUUAAUGAAAUACCAAGCUUCCUUGGAACCACACAUCCUAAUCCCAAGAACAAUGGCUGUGCUUGGCCAGAUAGAUAGAAUGAGUUCCAUGCAGGUGGAAUUCCAUAUCUGUGUGUCUUUUAAGCAAUACUUUAAAAUUCAAGGGCCUAUCUGCUCUUCCUAGACACACAAAAUCCUAUGGCACUUCUUCCAGUUUUCCAUUCUUUACUAGCGGGCUGCAUACCAGUUUUCCACCCCAUUGCUGCCCUCCAGCUCAAGGGUCAUAACAAUCCACAGUGUGCUAAGUUUUCAAAACACUGUAUAAAAAAUCCUCACUUGUCUCCUAUGGGGCAGGAAAGUUUACAGAUGGGGAAAGGUUUCAGAGUAACAGCCGUGUUAGUCUGUAUUCGCAAAAAGAAAAGGAGGACUUGUGGCACCUUAGAGACUAACCAAUUUAUUUGAGCAUGAGCUUUCGUGAGCUACAGCUCACUUCAUCGGAUGCAUACUGUGGAAAUUGCAGAAGACAUUAUAUACACAGACACCAUGAAACAAUACUUCCUCCCACCCCACUCUCCUGCUGGUAAUAGCUUAUCUAAAGUGAUCAUCAAGUUGGGCCAUUUCCAGCACAAAUCCAGGUUUUCUCACCCUCCGCCCCCCCACAGACAAACUCACUCUCUUGCUGGUAAUAGCCCAUCCAAAGUGACCACUGUCUUCACAAUGUGUAUGUAGAUGGGGAAACUGAUCCUGGGAGGUUGCAAUUUACCCAAGAUCACAGAAUAAGUAUCAGGCCCCUGGUUGAAACUCUGGGCUUCCACCCUCCCAGCCUCAACCUCAGUCCCUUUAAAACCCACUGCUUCAUUAAAUUCAGUGAUACUGUAUUUAUACUCACUCUAUACAUGGAACAUAUUCAUAUAAACCUUACCAAUUAAUGGUUGUGUGCCUUAGAUUAAAGGUGCUGUAGAAAUUAUAAAUUGUCUUGCUUGAAUAAAAAGUUAACCAUAUCCAAUAUGUAGAUUGAUUAAUUGAUUUUAAAACAUUUAGAACCCAAUGUCUUAGAUGCUUUACACACAGGUAGGAAUAUAUAGUCCAGGCCCCAAAGAGCUGAUAUUCUACACAGGUAACAUAUGUACAAAGGGCAGUGAUGGGAUGGAACAAAAGCAGAUGACCUCUGCACUGCCUCACUCUCUCCUGAGGUGACUUGACUACCAGACAUCGAGGUGACAUGCUGACUAGGAGGCACGUUGGACUCAUCACAGCUCCUGGACACUCGGGAACAGAACAGGUAUGAGAAAUGCCUUUGACCACUACAAACAAGCCUGGAAAUGACAGUCAUUCCUGUCACAUGAGGACCCUGCCAUUGUAAUACACACUUCUUUGUCACCUCCAAUCUGUACUUCUGCAACUUGCUCUACCUGGGGCUGACUUAGGAAUUCAGUCAAAUUCAGGCUGCAGCAUGGUUUUGGAGCCAGAAAUAUUGAUGCGAACGUUGCUGAGCACCAGCGCAAUGCACUACAAGCUCCCGAUCCUGCUCUGGCUCCACACCAAAGUCCUGUCUCUCAUUUACAAGGCCCUCCAUGGCUUGUGGCCUGGCUAGCUCUGAAUCUCGCUCCUGAUCAAGGACCGCCGGUUACAACUGUGAUGAUAGGGAAGCUGAAGCUGCCCAUCUAAUUAAGCAACAGUGAAGACCUCUUCCGUUAGACUGCUUGUGCGCCUUAAUUUUGUACUGCUGCCUUGAUACCACAACAAAAAGGGUGCUCAAUGAAUCAGUUAGAUGCAUACCGAUUAGCAUGAGUUUUGUUCAUGCUAUAAUGUUUUUCACUGGGGGAGACAAUAUUUAUUCUGUUGUGCUUUGUUUGUAUGACUCUUGUUCUUUUCUUUCUAGGCUGGUUGACAAGUGCAUAAAGAGAUUUAAUGAAUGUGAAACAUUACAAUUAGCCCCGCAAUGAUAAGAAACUAAUACAUAUUAGAACCUCUGACACACUGGGGACUCCAGCGCACUGUGGAAAGUAGGACUUGCUGGUCAGGACACAUUGAUUUCCUUAUGACUCCAUCCACGCAGGAUUCAAGGACAGGACAAAACACUAUUAAGUCAGCAAGCAGACUGCAGUAAAUAAUGCAAGAGUUUUAGAGGGCUGAGGUUGUGUUUGAGUUAUAUAAAUUUUGUUGAGCUAUGCAUCUCAGCAUCAUGUUGACACUGUCUCUGGCACAUAAGAGAAAUCUUGAUAGGUAACAUGAGUCAAAAAAGCCAUUUGGGAUUUGAGAUGUGUUGCAGCUUAUUUUCAUGCAAGAGGCAAAAAUAGCCGCCCCACACAAAAAAGAAACACUGUAUCUUAUCAAUGGCUCCCAUUAACAAACUAAAACAAACACAAAUCUAUGCAUAGCAAUGUAACUAAUGUUUGUUUAUGAAAGAAGGAGAGGGGAGACUCCAGUAGUGCACUCAGAAAGAGAUAACGGCUUUCCAUGGACUAGCAGGAGGGAGAAAGAAACCCAUUAGCAUUCCUGCUCCUUUGUUUGCUUUUAUAGGCUCUGAUCCUGAAAAUGCUUGAGCAUCUGAGUGGUCCAAUUGAGCUCAGUGGGACUAAUCAAGUGCACUAAGUUAUUCAUGUGAUCAGGUGUUUGCAGGACCAGGGUCCUAGUUUAGUGCCACAGGGAAACA
Molecule: long non-coding RNA, 8850 nt
Organism: Chelonia mydas (Green sea turtle)
Lineage: Eukaryota; Metazoa; Chordata; Testudines; Cheloniidae
Exons: 6
Source: RefSeq, a predicted model, not a curated record